UUGUGAUUGUGCAUUGUUUUGUUGUGUUGAAAUCGUUGUGAAACAAAUAUUUCCAGUUUGAGUCCCAUUGCCUUGGCUUAGAAGACAUUCAUUCAUUCCUCCCACAGCUUGCCAAACAACAAGUAUUGCAAGAACCAGGAGCAAAAAUAAAAAAUCACCAAAAAGUCAUAACAUAAAAACCCAUAAAUUUUCCUCAGAAAAUUCUUGUCGGAAUCAAGUGGGGAAAACUUAUUCUCUGGUUUCAUCUAAACCAGAAAAAAAAUAUAACAACUUUCAUAGCAGCAGCAGCAGCAUCCAGCCAGCUAGCCAGGCAACAAACAUCAUACCAAAGUUUGAUUUGUAGUUGAAAACUAAGCAAAAAGUGUUUGUAAAUGUGUGUGUGUGUGUCUCUUGUGUGUGAAUGUGUAAACGACAGGCAAGCAAGCCAACAAGAAGUAAACCAGCAACUGAGCUAAACUGAAGGAUCCUACUAAGAAUUUCGGCCACAAAUCAUAAAGUUUAUGAUUUGUUAUCCCAAAGGAAACCUGUGGAUUACUGUGCGUUGCUGUGUAAUGGUGAAAAACCCAAGGAAGUCUUGAAUUUCCAUCCUAAAUCCACAUUUUGCAUCCUUUUUCCUUGGAUUUUUGGAUAAACUCUUGAGAAAACUAAGCUGCACAUUCACAUCCAUUCAAUUUGAACCAACGAGCGAGUGAACGAACCAACACAUACAUCAUAGAGAGAUAAUAAAUGCUACUAAAUUUAACCCAGCAUGUGUGUGUCUGUGUGUGAGUGAGUGGGAGAGAGACAGAGAAAAGACCAUGCUUUAAAAGACAAUUCAAUUGACAAUUUGGUUUAAAUAAAUCUACAUAAAAAUCCAUAAAAAAAAACAGCUGGAAUUGAAUUGAAUGGUAGAUGAAAUGAAAUAAAAAUCCGGCAAAAGGAAAGUAACAAAAAACUAAAGAGACAAAAUAAGUGAACGAAAUUGAGGGGAAAACGAAAGAGAGGGAGAGGAAAAAUAAAUGUGAGUGGUACAAGCAAGCGAAGCAAACGGUUAAAAAAUAACAGCGAUACACAUAAACAGUAAAACGGAAACGGAAAUUGUAAAAUAAAAAUCCGCACACAAAUAUACCCAAACGAACACACAGAGUGAAUGGCAGAUUAUAAAGUAGAUUCAUAAAAAAGGCAACAAGAAACUUUGACAAAAAAAGUACAAGGACAAUAUCCUUGCAAAACAACCAAACCAAAGAAUAAAGAAAACAAAACACAGAACAAACCAAACCAGCCAAGCCCAGCCCAGCAAGGACAACAGUACAAACCCCCUAGCAUGCGGAUGGUCCUUCGUCAUUGAGGCCAAGUAACAAACAAACAAACAAACGAACGAACCAAUAAACUGAUAAACAUUUACAGUUAUAACUAUCCUCUUUAAACAACUACUGCCACUUCCGGUUGACUGGUUAUUGGUGUGCUCGACUUCGGUUCGUUAUUUUUUUUCGCUGCUUCUCCGUUCAUUUCAGUCGUUUGUCUGCCGUCGUGUUUUUUUUUUUUUCGUUUUGUGGCAUAUCUUAAGAAGUUUCUGACAUUUACACAGUGUAGUCUACGUUGAACCGUAGGAAAAACACAACAACAACAACAUAAACAUGACGUCUUCGACGGCAAUGCCAGCGAAAGCAAUCAGAACAAAAACAAAAAUCCUGCCGCCUUUAAUAGCACCAACAACAACAAUUGAAGCCACAACACCUCCACUUAGCAGUUAUCGUCAUCACAGCCACAAGCAUGGACGCUGUGGAAGUGGCAUCACGAGACAAUAUCCCCGACAUCUGUUGGCUUACAGUCUGCUAUCGAUUUUGGUCGUAUUGUGUUGGC
Long non-coding RNA from Musca domestica (house fly), 1842 nucleotides. RefSeq lists it as uncharacterized. The transcript has 3 exons. The record is from RefSeq and is a predicted model, not a curated record. Lineage: Eukaryota; Metazoa; Arthropoda; Insecta; Diptera; Muscidae.